GGAAGCGAACCGGCCGGAUCAGGAAACUGUCUUGAAAACAGCUGCCCUCGCACAGGGUUGGGGGUUCGAGUCCCUCCGCUUCCG
RNAcentral lists this transfer RNA (84 nucleotides) under Candidatus Obscuribacterales bacterium. RNAcentral describes it as "tRNA-Ser". It matches the Rfam family "tRNA". Rfam says of the family: Transfer RNA (tRNA) molecules are approximately 80 nucleotides in length. Their secondary structure includes four short double-helical elements and three loops (D, anti-codon, and T loops). Further hydrogen bonds mediate the characteristic L-shaped molecular structure. tRNAs have two regions of fundamental functional importance: the anti-codon, which is responsible for specific mRNA codon recognition, and the 3' end, to which the tRNAs corresponding amino acid is attached (by aminoacyl-tRNA synthetases). tRNAs cope with the degeneracy of the genetic code in two manners: having more than one tRNA (with a specific anti-codon) for a particular amino acid; and 'wobble' base-pairing, i.e. permitting non-standard base-pairing at the 3rd anti-codon position. Lineage: Bacteria; Bacillati; Candidatus Melainabacteria; Candidatus Obscuribacterales. RNAcentral also lists the same sequence under 2 other names. The record is from RNAcentral.